This 2924-nucleotide ribosomal RNA is filed under the name Salmonella enterica subsp. enterica serovar Onderstepoort str. SA20060086. Its description in RNAcentral is "bacterial LSU rRNA". It matches the Rfam family "Bacterial large subunit ribosomal RNA". Lineage: Bacteria; Pseudomonadati; Pseudomonadota; Gammaproteobacteria; Enterobacterales; Enterobacteriaceae. The record is from RNAcentral.
GGGUUGUGAGGUUAAGCGACUAAGCGUACACGGUGGAUGCCCUGGCAGUCAGAGGCGAUGAAGGGCGUGCUAAUCUGCGAUAAGCGCCGGUAAGGUGAUAUGAACCGUUAUAACCGGCGAUACCCGAAUGGGGAAACCCAGUGUGACUCGUCACACUAUCAUUAACUGAAUCCAUAGGUUAAUGAGGCGAACCGGGGGAACUGAAACAUCUAAGUACCCCGAGGAAAAGAAAUCAACCGAGAUUCCCCCAGUAGCGGCGAGCGAACGGGGAGGAGCCCAGAGCCUGAAUCAGCAUGUGUGUUAGUGGAAGCGUCUGGAAAGGCGCGCGAUACAGGGUGACAGCCCCGUACACAAAAGCGCAUGUGCUGUGAGCUCGAUGAGUAGGGCGGGACACGUGGUAUCCUGUCUGAAUAUGGGGGGACCAUCCUCCAAGGCUAAAUACUCCUGACUGACCGAUAGUGAACCAGUACCGUGAGGGAAAGGCGAAAAGAACCCCGGCGAGGGGAGUGAAAAAGAACCUGAAACCGUGUACGUACAAGCAGUGGGAGCACCCUUUUGGGUGUGACUGCGUACCUUUUGUAUAAUGGGUCAGCGACUUAUAUUCUGUAGCAAGGUUAACCGAAUAGGGGAGCCGGAGGGAAACCGAGUCUUAACCGGGCGUUAAGUUGCAGGGUAUAGACCCGAAACCCGGUGAUCUAGCCAUGGGCAGGUUGAAGGUUGGGUAACACUAACUGGAGGACCGAACCGACUAAUGUUGAAAAAUUAGCGGAUGACCUGUGGCUGGGGGUGAAAGGCCAAUCAAACCGGGAGAUAGCUGGUUCUCCCCGAAAGCUAUUUAGGUAGCGCCUCGUGAAUUCAUCUCCGGGGGUAGAGCACUGUUUCGGCUAGGGGGCCAUCCCGGCUUACCAACCCGAUGCAAACUGCGAAUACCGGAGAAUGUUAUCACGGGAGACACACGGCGGGUGCUAACGUCCGUCGUGAAGAGGGAAACAACCCAGACCGCCAGCUAAGGUCCCAAAGUCAUGGUUAAGUGGGAAACGAUGUGGGAAGGCCCAGACAGCCAGGAUGUUGGCUUAGAAGCAGCCAUCAUUUAAAGAAAGCGUAAUAGCUCACUGGUCGAGUCGGCCUGCGCGGAAGAUGUAACGGGGCUAAACCAUGCACCGAAGCUGCGGCAGCGACGCUUAUGCGUUGUUGGGUAGGGGAGCGUUCUGUAAGCCUGUGAAGGUGGUGUGAGGUUGCUGGAGGUAUCAGAAGUGCGAAUGCUGACAUAAGUAACGAUAAAGCGGGUGAAAAGCCCGCUCGCCGGAAGACCAAGGGUUCCUGUCCAACGUUAAUCGGGGCAGGGUGAGUCGACCCCUAAGGCGAGGCCGAAAGGCGUAGUCGAUGGGAAACGGGUUAAUAUUCCCGUACUUGGUGUUACUGCGAAGGGGGGACGGAGAAGGCUAUGUUGGCCGGGCGACGGUUGUCCCGGUUUAAGCGUGUAGGUGUGUGUUCCAGGUAAAUCCGGUUCACUUUAACACUGAGGCGUGACGACGAGGCACUACGGUGCUGAAGCAACAAAUGCCCUGCUUCCAGGAAAAGCCUCUAAGCAUCAGGUAACAUCAAAUCGUACCCCAAACCGACACAGGUGGUCAGGUAGAGAAUACCAAGGCGCUUGAGAGAACUCGGGUGAAGGAACUAGGCAAAAUGGUGCCGUAACUUCGGGAGAAGGCACGCUGACACGUAGGUGAAGUGAUUUACUCAUGGAGCUGAAGUCAGUCGAAGAUACCAGCUGGCUGCAACUGUUUAUUAAAAACACAGCACUGUGCAAACACGAAAGUGGACGUAUACGGUGUGACGCCUGCCCGGUGCCGGAAGGUUAAUUGAUGGGGUCAGCGCAAGCGAAGCUCCUGAUCGAAGCCCCGGUAAACGGCGGCCGUAACUAUAACGGUCCUAAGGUAGCGAAAUUCCUUGUCGGGUAAGUUCCGACCUGCACGAAUGGCGUAAUGAUGGCCAGGCUGUCUCCACCCGAGACUCAGUGAAAUUGAACUCGCUGUGAAGAUGCAGUGUACCCGCGGCAAGACGGAAAGACCCCGUGAACCUUUACUAUAGCUUGACACUGAACAUUGAGCCUUGAUGUGUAGGAUAGGUGGGAGGCUUUGAAGUGUGGACGCCAGUCUGCAUGGAGCCGGCCUUGAAAUACCACCCUUUAAUGUUUGAUGUUCUAACGUGGACCCGUGAUCCGGGUUGCGGACAGUGUCUGGUGGGUAGUUUGACUGGGGCGGUCUCCUCCUAAAGAGUAACGGAGGAGCACGAAGGUUGGCUAAUCCUGGUCGGACAUCAGGAGGUUAGUGCAAUGGCAUAAGCCAGCUUGACUGCGAGCGUGACGGCGCGAGCAGGUGCGAAAGCAGGUCAUAGUGAUCCGGUGGUUCUGAAUGGAAGGGCCAUCGCUCAACGGAUAAAAGGUACUCCGGGGAUAACAGGCUGAUACCGCCCAAGAGUUCAUAUCGACGGCGGUGUUUGGCACCUCGAUGUCGGCUCAUCACAUCCUGGGGCUGAAGUAGGUCCCAAGGGUAUGGCUGUUCGCCAUUUAAAGUGGUACGCGAGCUGGGUUUAGAACGUCGUGAGACAGUUCGGUCCCUAUCUGCCGUGGGCGCUGGAGAACUGAGGGGGGCUGCUCCUAGUACGAGAGGACCGGAGUGGACGCAUCACUGGUGUUCGGGUUGUCAUGCCAAUGGCACUGCCCGGUAGCUAAAUGCGGAAGAGAUAAGUGCUGAAAGCAUCUAAGCACGAAACUUGCCCCGAGAUGAGUUCUCCCUGAGACUUAGAGUCUCCUGAAGGAACGUUGAAGACGACGACGUUGAUAGGCCGGGUGUGUAAGCGCAGCGAUGCGUUGAGCUAACCGGUACUAAUGAACCGUGAGGCUUAACCUUACAACGCCGAAG